UACGUAGGGGGCUAGCGUUGUCCGGAAUCAUUGGGCGUAAAGAGCGCGUAGGCGGCCAGAUAAGUCCGGUGUGAAAGUCACAGGCUCAACCUGUGAAUGCCGCUGGAAACUGUCUGGCUAGAGUCCGGAAGGGGCGAGUGGAAUUCCUGGUGUAGCGGUGAAAUGCGUAGAGAUCGGGAGGAAGGCCGGUGGCGAAGGCGGCGCUCUGGAACAUUUCUGACGCUGAGGCUCGAAAGCGUGGGGAGCAAACAGG
Molecule: ribosomal RNA, 253 nt
Filed under: uncultured bacterium
Lineage: Bacteria
Description: partial 16S ribosomal RNA
Rfam family: Bacterial small subunit ribosomal RNA
Source: RNAcentral